This 340-nucleotide ribosomal RNA is filed under the name uncultured bacterium. RNAcentral describes it as "bacterial SSU rRNA". It matches the Rfam family "Bacterial small subunit ribosomal RNA", at positions 330 to 667 of the family's 1533-position model. The record is from RNAcentral.
AAAACAGCCCUACGGGAGGCAGCAGUAAGGAAUAUUGGUCAAUGGACGCAAGUCUGAACCAGCCAUGCCGCGUGGAGGAUGAAGGUCCUCUGGAUUGUAAACUUCUUUUAUCUGGGACGAAAAAGGGGCAUUCUUGCUCAACUGACGGUACCAGAUGAAUAAGCACCGGCUAACUCCGUGCCAGCAGCCGCGGUAAUACGGAGGGUGCAAGCGUUAUCCGGAUUCACUGGGUUUAAAGGGUGCGUAGGCGGGUGUGUAAGUCCGUGGUGAAAUCUCUGAGCUUAACUCGGAAACUGCCAUGGGUACUGCAUAUCUUGAAUGUUGUGGAGGUGAGCGGAAU